UGGGGAAUUUUGGACAAUGGGCGCAAGCCUGAUCCAGCCAUGCCGCGUGUCUGAAGAAGGCCUUCGGGUUGUAAAGGACUUUUGUCAGGGAAGAAAAGGGCGGGGUUAAUACCCCUGUCUGAUGACGGUACCUGAAGAAUAAGCACCGGCUAACUACGUGCCAGCAGCCGCGGUAAUACGUAGGGUGCGAGCGUUAAUCGGAAUUACUGGGCGUAACGCGGGCGCAGACGGUUACUUAAGCAGGAUGUGAAAUCCUCGGGCUCAACCUGGGAACUGCGUUCUGAACUGGGUGACUAGAGUGUGUCAGAGGGAGGUAGAAUUCCACGUGUAGCAGUGAAAUGCGUAGAGAUGUGGAGGAAUACCGAUGGCGAAGGCAGCCUCCUGGGAUAACACUGACGUUCAUGCCCGAAAGCGUGGGUAGCAAACA
This 427-nucleotide ribosomal RNA is filed under the name uncultured bacterium. RNAcentral's name for it is "partial 16S ribosomal RNA". It matches the Rfam family "Bacterial small subunit ribosomal RNA", at positions 355 to 774 of the family's 1533-position model. The record is from RNAcentral.